UCGGACCCGUUUCUGAGCCGCAGUCGGACUCAGCUCCGUCCGAGGCGGAGCGGAUUCGGACCGAGGUCGGUGCUGUUUGCUUGAAGGGUAGGCACGAAUCGGCCCAUUCAACUCGACCCUCAUGUAACCAUAUAAAGUACGAAGUCUGAACCAUUGUUGAUCGGUGUCAGUCCAUAGACUAUAAUUUAUUAAACAUCAAAUUGGAACAUAGCAAAUUCAACAUGGCAGGUAGGUUCUAUCAACUAUUUCUAAUUGGAGUACUCAUCCAGGGAUUCGUCACAAGCAGGUUUCUUAACUCGAUUGGAGGCAGUUCCCCAGGCGUCCGCAACAAACCACCAAUUGAUUUGGAAAAUAAAGUGGCGAUCAAUUCCAGACAUCAUUGACUGAGUUUACAGCAGCUUCAGCCUUGAGCAUUUAAAAAAAAAAAAAUCAAAACAAGAUACAAAAACUACCACCAAAGUGCAGACUGCAGAGUAUUUUUUCUUUUUCAUUUUUCUCAACUGGCCAGGCCACAGUCGCGUGCCCAAGGAUCUUUUUUUAUGUAUUUUGUUUUCAAAAAAAAAUAUUAAAUAAUAGUUGUUUAAAAGAAUGUUUGUUUUGAAGAUUUUUUUAUUUUCAGAUGAAAUUAAAAUAUGGAUUUUAGCAGUACGGAUAUAAACCCAUGAAAGUGCUCCAAAUAAGUACUUAAAAAGUACAAGUUUCAGUGCUUUUUCUGUAGGUAAAAAAGUACUGGAAAAUGCACAUCAGAACCACUUCCAGAAGUGCUUCGCUGAUGCACUUUUGAAGUACAUUUGUCUGUACUAUUAAUGGAGGGGAAAUUUAUUUCAUCUUGCAUGCAAGAAAGAGAUAGCUGCUUCACGUAUUCUUAUAUACAGAAAGUAUAUAACUGAGUUUUUUCCCGAGCUCCUAUCUUUUUUCAGUGGAAAAGAAGUACUUCUUUUACGUACAUAUUUCACCGGUUUUUUCUGUAGUUCUGCGUUUGCUGGGUUUAUUUUAAUUUUAAAUAUACCUAUAAGAACUUAACACGAAUUUUUAAUUUUUCUUUUUAUAUAAAAAAAACUUCUAUUCGAUUAGGCUUUCACUAUAUUUUUAACAGCACUAUAUCAACCGAUCAGCUUCUUGAUUAAAUUUGAAAUGAUAUCGAUUCACGUGUAUGAGAUGUCAAAAUUUCAAUCUCAUAGAAGAAAAAGGAAAAGGCAAUUUUGACAGUUGGAGGAGAACCUCCAAAAAAUUUUUAUCGCAUGUUCAACAUAACUGAUCAAACAUCACCCGAUUCACAUCUCUCAAUAUAAACCUUAUAUACACUCUUGUAAGUAUUGGUGAGCAUUUCUAUAUCUCCCCUUUCUAUCUUCGAAUUCGAACUUAAUUAUAGGGCACGUUCAGAAAAAAGGAAAUUACCUUGUUGCAACCAUCAACCAAUAGAUGGCUUGUAAGGUUAAGGGUGUGAUUAUAUUGGCUUAUUGGAGGUUUAAGUUUGGUUUGUACGUAAAACAGCAAGACUAACGGGUGACAUGAACAUAGACAAAAAGUACGUAUUGAACAAUUAAAAGAACUAAUUUGAGCCACCUUCGUACCCGUUUAUGAGCCGGAGUCGGACUCAGCUCCGUCCGAUGCGGAACGGAUUCGGACCGAGGUCGGACUUGUUUGCUUGAAGGGUAGGCACGAAUCGGCCCAUUCAACUCGACCUUCAUGUAACCAUAUAACGUACGAAGUCUGAACAAUGGUUGGUCGGUGUCAGUCCAUAGACUAUAAUUUAUGUCACAUCAAUUUGGAAAUUCAACAUGGCAGGAUCUAAAUAACAUUUCCAGUUGGAGUUCUCGUCGCUGUAUUUCGUCACAAGCAGGUUUUUUAACUUGAUUGGAGGCAGUUCAGCAGGCGUCCGCAACACUUCAAACGAAAUUAUUAUUUAGGAUAAAGACAAUGGAAGAGAAUUCGUUGUUUUUAUUAAUAAAUAAUCUUACCUACAGUGGAAAAAAAAAAGAUAUUUUUCUUGUUUUUUUGAAAA
Long non-coding RNA from Episyrphus balteatus (marmalade hoverfly), 2005 nucleotides. RefSeq lists it as uncharacterized. The transcript has 6 exons. The record is from RefSeq and is a predicted model, not a curated record. NCBI's taxonomy places the organism in Eukaryota, Metazoa, Arthropoda, Insecta, Diptera, Syrphidae.